Molecule: long non-coding RNA, 382 nt
Organism: Solanum lycopersicum (tomato)
Lineage: Eukaryota; Viridiplantae; Streptophyta; Magnoliopsida; Solanales; Solanaceae
Source: RefSeq, a predicted model, not a curated record
UCAGUAUUGGUAAUUGAUUUUUUUUUUUAAAUUUCCAAGAAACCAAGAGACAUCUAAUUGAAGAACCAAACUUUCAAUUCUAUAGGAUGUAACAUGAAGACCUAAAUUAUUUGUUAUGGCUUUUACAUGGAAAAUCCGUCCACACAGAUUUUGCAAUUCUGAUGUUAUUCAAGUAACCGGUGAAAUUGGCGAAUGAUCUCGCUUUUUCCCUGUAAAAUACAAUCACAAGUAUCAACUUUAUGUUUGAUUAAAAUGUGUAAAAUAUGUUAUAUGCAAGUAAUCUUGGUUGUUUGCUUGAUUACUUGGUUGUUAUGAAAACAUCAUUUUUGUGUAUAAUAAGAAUAGUUUCCCAGUAAGGAAAUAUCUUGCUUUCAGUUUUUAA